Molecule: ribosomal RNA, 465 nt
Filed under: Vreelandella stevensii
Lineage: Bacteria; Pseudomonadati; Pseudomonadota; Gammaproteobacteria; Oceanospirillales; Halomonadaceae
Description: partial 16S ribosomal RNA
Rfam family: Bacterial small subunit ribosomal RNA
Source: RNAcentral
CCUACGGGCGGCAGCAGUGGGGAAUAUUGGACAAUGGGGGGAACCCUGAUCCAGCCAUGCCGCGUGUGUGAAGAAGGCCCUCGGGUGGUAAAGCACUUUCAGGGAGGAAGAACGCCUGGUGGUUAAUACCCAUCAGGAAAGACAUCACUCACAGAAGAAGCACCGGCUAACUCCGUGCCAGCAGCCGCGGUAAUACGGAGGGUGCGAGCGUUAAUCGGAAUUACUGGGCGUAAAGCGCGCGUAGGUGGCUUGAUAAGCCGGUUGUGAAAGCCCCGGGCUCAACCUGGGAACGGCAUCCGGAACUGUCAAGCUAGAGUGCAGGAGAGGAAGGUAGAAUUCCCGGUGUAGCGGUGAAAUGCGUAGAGAUCGUGAGGAAUACCAGUGGCGAAGGCGGCCUUCUGGACUGACACUGACACUGAGGUGCGAAAGCGUGGGUAGCAAACAGGAUUAGAUACCCUAGUAGUC